This 412-nucleotide ribosomal RNA is filed under the name Elysia sp. 5 JV-2011. Its description in RNAcentral is "partial 16S ribosomal RNA". It matches the Rfam family "Bacterial large subunit ribosomal RNA", at positions 1844 to 2586 of the family's 2925-position model. The record is from RNAcentral. Lineage: Eukaryota; Metazoa; Mollusca; Gastropoda; Plakobranchidae.
UAUUUAAGGUGAUGCCUGCCCAGUGCUAUAUUGUUAACGGCCGCAGUACCCUGACUGUGCUAAGGUAGCAAAAUCAUUUGGCUUUUAAUUGGAGUCGGGAAUGAAUGGACUAAUGGGGUAACACUGUCUCUUUUAUAUUUUGUUGAACUUUUUUAGUAGGUGAAAAUACCUACAGGAGAGAAAAAAGACGAGAAGACCCUAGGAGCUUUUACUAGUUGUUAAAUUAAUUUAACUACCGUUUUUGUUGGGGCAACAUAGGAAUAAUAAUAACCUCCUUUAUUUAUUUGCCGACGUAGUAUGUGUAAUUAAGCUACCCUAGGGAUAACAGCGUAAUUCUUUUAGAGCUUGCGACCUCGAUGUUGGACUAGGAAUUUUACUGGCUAGCCGCCAAUAAAACUGGUUCUGUUCGAAC